Molecule: long non-coding RNA, 2311 nt
Filed under: Malus domestica (apple)
Lineage: Eukaryota; Viridiplantae; Streptophyta; Magnoliopsida; Rosales; Rosaceae
Description: long non-coding RNA (MDOM_LNC000836)
Source: RNAcentral
UGUCAAUGUCCCAAUCAGGUUGAUAUGCAAAAAUAAAUAAAUUAUACAUAUCACUAAUAUGUUUUAUCUAAAGAACUAUAUUAUUAUUUAACUAAUUAAUAAUUAACAUGUACUGCUAAUGCAUUGAUCAUGACCAUGUUUAUUUCCUCGGAGACGUCUCUCCAAGAUUGCCAAUUCACUCCGCAUUUGUCACGCACCAAUACCCCAACGUCACCCCUAAACUUUUUUACCAUAUCCGACUUCUCAUAUCCUACUAAUUCUGCAUAAGUGAUUCGGUAGCAUCUCUUUAUCAGCAGAAGUGUCUUGAACGCAUGUCUCAACUCUCUUUUUCUUGUCUACUAACAAAAUAAACACUUAUAAUGGUCUACUUAAAUAUUUAAUUAAUUUACACAACCAACAAAAAUUAGCACGUAUUACCUUUCCCAGAACCUUCACCCUAAACUCUCUUUGACGAAUGACCACCAGAGUCUGCCAUCGCGUACAGAAAAACAAACGAAAAUUGGAAUAAUAAUUCGGUAAAAGUAAAGAGUUUUCGUCGCGCAAAAUCAUGCAGUAAAUACCACAUUCAACACUUUGACUAAACAAUUGAUGAAUAAUUGGUCUCGCUAAGUAACACACGCUGUACUUAUUUUGGUGCUAAAAUACAGGCAUUUGCACGACGAAACAAUGCGUCGUGCAAAUUGUUUGUCCCAUUAGAUUUUGUCCAACGACCUGGUGCGUCAAAGUGGUAUGUUCGUCGCGCUAACCUAUCUUAUGCAACGAAAUUCCUUUCGUCGCAUAAAGUUUUGUUGCACAAAUGAGUUUUUCUACUAGUGUAACCCAUGUGGCACUUUAUAUUACUCCAACCAACUCUUCAAUCUACUCUUCAAAUUUUAUUUUUCACUUGAAAAUAUUAAUAUCUUAAGUUUAUCUAAUCUUAUGGGCCUUAAAUUUUGUCCAACGACCUGGUGCGAUAAAGUGGUAGUCGCGCUAACCUAUUUUAAGCAACGAAAUUCCUUUCGUCACAUAAAGUUUUGUCGCGCAAAUGGGUUUUUCUACUAGUGUAACCCAUGUGGCACUUUAUAUUACUCCAACCAACUCUUCAAUCUACUCUUCGAAUUUUAUUUUUCACUUGAAAAUAUUAAUAUCUUAAGUUUAUCUAAUCUUAUGGGGCCCAAGUUUUAUUUUCAAACUCUUAGAGGUUCAUUUUUCCUGCGCAACAUAGCAAAUAUAACUUUGCUACUCAGUUGCUAUAUUUGGUAGUUUCAUUCUUUUUUUAAAUUACAAACGUUAUUACUAUUUUAAAUCUUCAAAAUUGCCCUUUUAUAAAUAUCUCAUUUUCCUAUCAACUUACGGUAAUCCACACUUAUAAUUUAAUUAAAAAAUAAAACUAAAAAGGUGAAUCAAAUUCAUGUAAUAUUUAGUUAUGUCUCAGAGAUGCCUAUGUAUUGCAUGAUUUGAGAUAUAAUUUUUUGUAUUACAAAUAAUAUACAAGUACAAUUGUGGAAGAUUCUUGCAAAGAGGCUAUACAGAUUAUUAGCAAGCCAUCGCGUCAGCUGCGUGUCAUUUGCUAUCCAUCUGUUGGUACUUGUUAAUUAUGUAAGCUGCACUCGAUUGCACUUAAUUCAGGUCAACUUCGAUUGCUUUAUCUUAAUAAUUGAUGUGCGGAAUAUUCAUAUACCAAAUUGUUGAAACAUUUUUUGAUAGGUCCAAAAUGUUGAAAAGCCGACCGCUUUAGUAGAUUUUGUUUAAUUUCUAUUUUGAGAAGUGCUAAUUGGACACAAGUUGAUCAUAUUAUUAAUCUUACUUACAAUGAAAUGACUUAUUUCUAGUAGAAAUUGUCAACAACGUUAUCAAUUUUGUCUCUACCAUUUAUAGGAAUCAGACGGUUUUCGUUUGAUAUUUUUAACAUUGCUGUUAAAUUAGUGUGAUUUCAAUAACUGUGAGAGUCAUACUUCAAAAUCUACUAGUUUAUAUCAUACUCAAAAUUUUCAGCACACUCUGGACUGAAAGAAUAUGAUUCUUAUAUAAACUCAAUAUAUUAGUAUUACACUAACAUUUUCCAGCCUAAUGUAAUAUUAUAACAUUUUUGUUUUUGUUGUUGUUUUGGGUGAGGGCAAUAAGGAGAGCGAUGAAACAAGGGAUGGGAGUAGUAAUUGCUUAUGUAGAUUUACACUCAAAUUCUAAACCCUCGUAAAUGAGAAGUUAGUACCAAUUUGCAAACUCUUUUAGUAGGAUCUUUAUGAAAUCCAAUCGGUCACGUACAUGUUCGUAAUCGAUACGUUUAUCUAGAGAUUUCCCCAUGGGCCUUUUCAGGGGAGGCAGAUUGUCC